RNAcentral lists this ribosomal RNA (447 nucleotides) under uncultured bacterium. RNAcentral's name for it is "bacterial SSU rRNA". It matches the Rfam family "Bacterial small subunit ribosomal RNA", at positions 328 to 792 of the family's 1533-position model. The record is from RNAcentral.
UUUCCAGACUCCUACGGGAGGCAGCAGUGGGGAAUAUUGCACAAUGGGGGAAACCCUGAUGCAGCGACGCCGCGUGAGUGAAGAAGUCUUUCGGUAUGUAAAGCUCUAUCAGCAGGGAAGAAAAUGACGGUACCUGACUAAGAAGCCCCGGCUAACUACGUGCCAGCAGCCGCGGUAAUACGUAGGGGGCAAGCGUUAUCCGGAUUUACUGGGUGUAAAGGGAGCGUAGACGGCCAGACAAGUCAGAAGUGAAAGCCCAGGGCUCAACCCUGGGACUGCUUUUGAAACUGCCGGGCUGGAGUGCAGGAGAGGUAAGCGGAAUUCCUAGUGUAGCGGUGAAAUGCGUAGAUAUUAGGAGGAACACCAGUGGCGAAGGCGGCUUACUGGACUGUAACUGACGUUGAGGCUCGAAAGCGUGAGGAGCAAACAGGAUUAGAUACCCCUGUA